AGAGUUUGAUCAUGGCUCAGAAUCAACGCUGGCGGCGCGCUUAACACAUGCAAGUCGCACGAGAAAGUGGAGCAAUCCAUGAGUAAAGUGGCGUACGGGUGAGUAACACGUGGAUCAUCUACCUCUUGGUGGGGAAUAACCCUGGGAAACCGGGGCUAAUACCGCAUAAGCCUGCGAAGGGAAAGCAGCAAUGCGCCGAGAGAGGAGUCCGCGGCCGAUUAGCUAGUUGGUAGGGUAAAGGCCUACCAAGGCAAUGAUCGGUAGCCGGCCUGAGAGGGCACACGGCCACACUGGCACUGAAACACGGGCCAGACUCCUACGGGAGGCAGCAGUGGGGAAUCUUGCACAAUGGAGGAAACUCUGAUGCAGCGACGCCGCGUGAGCGAUGAAGCCCUUCGGGGUGUAAAGCUCUUUCGACGGGAACGAUAAUGACGGUACCCGGAGAAGAAGCUGCGGCUAACUACGUGCCAGCAGCCGCGGUAAUACGUAGGCAGCAAGCGUUGUUCGGAAUUACUGGGCGUAAAGAGUGUGUAGGCGGUUCUCUAUGUUCGGUGUGAAAUCUCCCGGCUUAACUGGGAGGGUGCGCCGAAAACUGGAGGGCUUGAGUAUGGGAGAGGAAAGCGGAAUUCCUGGUGUAGCGGUGAAAUGCGUAGAUAUCAGGAGGAACACCUGCGGUGUAGACGGCUUUCUGGACCAUCACUGACGCUGAGACACGAAAGCGUGGGGAGCAAACAGGAUUAGAUACCCUGGUAGUCCACGCCCUAAACGAUGCAUACUUGGUGUGAGCCGUUCAUUCGGUUCGUGCCGGAGCUAACGCGUUAAGUAUGCCGCCUGGGGAGUACGGUCGCA
This 849-nucleotide ribosomal RNA is filed under the name uncultured bacterium. RNAcentral's name for it is "bacterial SSU rRNA". It matches the Rfam family "Bacterial small subunit ribosomal RNA", at positions 8 to 890 of the family's 1533-position model. The record is from RNAcentral.